AUGGAGAGUUUGAUUCUGGCUCAGAACGAACGCUGGCGGCGUGGAUAAGACAUGCAAGUCGAACGGGAGAAUUGCUAGCUUGCUAAUAAUUCUCUAGUGGCGCACGGGUGAGUAACACGUGAGUAACCUGCCUCUUAGUGGGGGAUAGCCCUGGGAAACCGGGAUUAAUACCGCAUACGAUUGAAAGAUCAAAGCAGCAAUGCGCUAGGAGAUGGGCUCGCGGCCUAUUAGUUAGUUGGUGAGGUAACGGCUCACCAAGGCGAUGACGGGUAGCCGGUCUGAGAGGAUGUCCGGCCACACUGGAACUGAGACACGGUCCAGACACCUACGGGUGGCAGCAGUCGAGAAUCAUUCACAAUGGGGGCAACCCUGAUGGUGCGACGCCGCGUGGGGGAAUGAAGGUCUUCGGAUUGUAAACCCCUGUCAUGUGGGAGCAAAUUAAAAAGAUAGUACCACAAGAGGAAGAGACGGCUAACUCUGUGCCAGCAGCCGCGGUAAUACAGAGGUCUCAAGCGUUGUUCGGAAUCACUGGGCGUAAAGCGUGCGUAGGCUGUUUCGUAAGUCGUGUGUGAAAGGCAGGGGCUCAACCCCUGGAUUGCACAUGAUACUGCGAGACUAGAGUAAUGGAGGGGGAACCGGAAUUCUCGGUGUAGCAGUGAAAUGCGUAGAUAUCGAGAGGAACACUCGUGGCGAAGGCGGGUUCCUGGACAUUAACUGACGCUGAGGCACGAAGGCCAGGGGAGCGAAAGGGAUUAGAUACCCCUGUAGUCCUGGCAGUAAACGGUGCACGCUUGGUGUGCGGGGAAUCGACCCCCUGCGUGCCGGAGCUAACGCGUUAAGCGUGCCGCCUGGGGAGUACGGUCGCAAGAUUAAAACUCAAAGAAAUUGACGGGGACCCGCACAAGCGGUGGAGUAUGUGGCUUAAUUCGAUGCAACGCGAAGAACCUUACCUGGGCUUGACAUGUAAUGAACAACAUGUGAAAGCAUGCGACUCUUCGGAGGCGUUACACAGGUGCUGCAUGGCCGUCGUCAGCUCGUGUCGUGAGAUGUUUGGUUAAGUCCAGCAACGAGCGCAACCCCUGUUGCCAGUUACCAUCGAGUAAUGUCGGGGACUCUGGCGAGACUGCCCAGAUCAACUGGGAGGAAGGUGGGGACGACGUCAGGUCAGUAUGGCCCUUAUGCCCAGGGCUGCACACGUACUACAAUGCCCAGUACAGAGGGGGCCGAAGCCGCGAGGCGGAGGAAAUCCUGAAAACUGGGCCCAGUUCGGACUGUAGGCUGCAACCCGCCUACACGAAGCCGGAAUCGCUAGUAAUGGCGCAUCAGCUACGGCGCCGUGAAUACGUUCCCGGGUCUUGUACACACCGCCCGUCACAUCAUGGAAGCCGGUCGCACCCGAAGUAUCUGAAGCCAACCGCAAGGAGGCAGGGUCCUAAGGUGAGACUGGUAACUGGGAUGAAGUCGUAACAAGGUAGCCGUAGGGGAACCUGCGGCUGGAUCACCUCCUUU
RNAcentral lists this ribosomal RNA (1509 nucleotides) under Akkermansia biwaensis. RNAcentral's name for it is "bacterial SSU rRNA". It matches the Rfam family "Bacterial small subunit ribosomal RNA". Lineage: Bacteria; Pseudomonadati; Verrucomicrobiota; Verrucomicrobiia; Verrucomicrobiales; Akkermansiaceae. The record is from RNAcentral.